This 266-nucleotide unclassified non-coding RNA is filed under the name Hevea brasiliensis (rubber tree). Lineage: Eukaryota; Viridiplantae; Streptophyta; Magnoliopsida; Malpighiales; Euphorbiaceae. The record is from RNAcentral.
CCGUGAUAAAUAGUGGAGACACCAAGUCCUCCCAGUUAGGGUGACCAGAUUCAUCAGUGCUCUCUAAAACAUUGAAGAUAUAAGCCAAAAGAAGUUCUACAACCAGAUAACCAGAAUUUUCUGCUUCAAGAAAUUCAUCAGGGCAAUUCUGCACAAUCUGUGAUAGAACUGAAAUGGCCAGACUAUUCCAAUAAUUAUCCAUGUAAAUGGAGUAUGAGAAAACCUGCAGCAACUCUUGACAAAUAUCUGCAGUAAGAAACUCAGCA